GUCUCUAUGAAGUUACAUGGAGUCUAACCUGCCCGUUGAAAUAUUUUGAAAGGCCGCGGUAUCCUAACUGUGCAAAGGUAGCAUAAUCAUUAGUUUUUUAAUUGAAGGCUAGUAUGAAGGGUUGGACAAAGAAAAAACUCUCUUUAUAUUUAUUUUUUAACUUUACUUUUAAGUGAAAAGGCUUAAAUAUUUUUAAGGGACGAUAAGACCCUAUAAAGCUUUAUAUUAACUUAUUUUUUAUAAAUUAAUAUUGUAAACUCCAUAUAAUAAAAUAAGACAUAUUUUGUUGGGGUGACGAGAAUAUAAACAUAACUGUUCUAAACAUUAAACAAAGUUAUUUGUAAAUUUAUAGAUCCUUUAUUAAAGAUUGUAAGUUUAAGUUACUUUAGGGAUAACAGCGUUAUUUUUUUUAAGAGUUCUUAUCGAAAAAAAAGUUUGCGACCUCGAUGUUGAAUUAAAAUUUCUUUAUGGUGUAGCCGCUAUAAUAAGAAAGUCUGUUCGACUUUU
RNAcentral lists this ribosomal RNA (507 nucleotides) under Antillimunida stimpsoni. RNAcentral describes it as "Munida stimpsoni partial large subunit ribosomal RNA". It matches the Rfam family "Bacterial large subunit ribosomal RNA", at positions 1831 to 2589 of the family's 2925-position model. The record is from RNAcentral. Lineage: Eukaryota; Metazoa; Arthropoda; Malacostraca; Decapoda; Munididae.